RNAcentral lists this ribosomal RNA (434 nucleotides) under uncultured bacterium. Its description in RNAcentral is "partial 16S ribosomal RNA". It matches the Rfam family "Bacterial small subunit ribosomal RNA", at positions 341 to 792 of the family's 1533-position model. The record is from RNAcentral.
ACGGAAGGCAGCAGUGGGGAAUAUUGCACAAUGGGGGAAACCCUGAUGCAGCGACGCCGCGUGAGCGAAGAAGUAUUUCGGUAUGUAAAGCUCUAUCAGCAGGGAAGAUAAUGACGGUACCUGACUAAGAAGCUCCGGCUAAAUACGUGCCAGCAGCCGCGGUAAUACGUAUGGAGCAAGCGUUAUCCGGAUUUACUGGGUGUAAAGGGAGCGUAGGCGGUCUUGCAAGUCUGAUGUGAAAACCCGGGGCUCAACCCCGGGACUGCAUUGGAAACUGUAGGACUAGAGUGUCGGAGGGGUAAGCGGAAUUCCUAGUGUAGCGGUGAAAUGCGUAGAUAUUAGGAGGAACACCGGUGGCGAAGGCGGCUUACUGGACGACAACUGACGCUGAGGCUCGAAAGCGUGGGGAGCAAACAGGAUUAGAUACCCUGGUA